RNAcentral lists this ribosomal RNA (162 nucleotides) under uncultured bacterium. RNAcentral describes it as "partial 16S ribosomal RNA". It matches the Rfam family "Bacterial small subunit ribosomal RNA", at positions 371 to 527 of the family's 1533-position model. The record is from RNAcentral.
CUGGGCGAAGCCUGAUCCAGCCAUGCCGCGUGUGUGAAAAGGUCUUCGGAUUGUAAAGCACUUUAAGUUGGGAGGAAGGGCAUUUACCUAAUACGUUAGUGUUUUGACGUUACCGACAGAAUAAGCACCGGCUAACUCUGUGCCAGCAGCCGCGGUAAAAGA